This 406-nucleotide ribosomal RNA is filed under the name uncultured bacterium. Its description in RNAcentral is "bacterial SSU rRNA". It matches the Rfam family "Bacterial small subunit ribosomal RNA", at positions 355 to 773 of the family's 1533-position model. The record is from RNAcentral.
UGGGGAAUAUUGCACAAUGGGCGAAAGCCUGAUGCAGCGACGCCGCGUGAGGGAUGACGGCCUUCGGGUUGUAAACCUCUUUCGCCAGGGACGAAGCGCAAGUGACGGUACCUGGAUAAGAAGCCCCGGCUAACUACGUUCCAGCAGCCGCGGUAAUAUGUAGGGUGCGAGCGUUGUCCGGAUUUAUUGGGCGUAAAGAGCUCGUAGGCGGUUUGUCGCGUCGGCUGUGAAAUCUGGAGGCUUAACCUUCAGCGUGCAGUCGAUACGGGCAGACUUGAGUUCGGUAGGGGAGACUGGAAUUCCUGGUGUAGCGGUGAAAUGCGCAGAUAUCAGGAGGAACACCGGUGGCGAAGGCGGGUCUCUGGGCCGAUACUGACGCUGAGGAGCGAAAGCGUGGGGAGCGAAC